GAUGAACGCUGGCGGCGCGCCUAACACAUGCAAGUCGAACGAUUAAAGCACCUUCGGGUGUGUAUAAAGUGGCGAACGGCUGAGUAACACGUGGGCAACCUGCCCCUCUCAUUGGGAUAGCCACGGGAAACCGUGGAUAAUACCGAAUACUUCGGGACUUCCGCAUGGAAGACUCGAGAAAGCUCCGGCGGAGAGGGAUGGGCCCGCGGCCUGUUAGCUUGUUGGUGGGGUAAUGGCCUACCAAGGCAAUGAUGGGUAGCUGGGUUGAGAGACCGACCAGCCAGAUUGGGACUGAGACACGGCCCAGACUCCUACGGGAGGCAGCAGUGGGGAAUCUUGCACAAUGGGCGAGAGCCUGAUGCAGCGACGCCGCGUGCGGGAUGAAGGCCUUCGGGUUGUAAACCGCUUUCAGCAGGGACGAGGCGAAAGUGACGGUACCUGCAGAAGAAGCCCCGGCUAACUACGUG
Molecule: ribosomal RNA, 467 nt
Filed under: uncultured bacterium
Lineage: Bacteria
Description: partial 16S ribosomal RNA
Rfam family: Bacterial small subunit ribosomal RNA
Source: RNAcentral